AACGAACGCUGGCGGCAGGCCUAACACAUGCAAGUCGAACGCCCCGCAAGGGGAGUGGCAGACGGGUGAGUAACGCGUGGGAACCUACCUUUCGGUGCGGAAUAACUUCGGGAAACCAAAGCUAAUACCGCAUACGCCCUACGGGGGAAAGAUUUAUCGCCGAUAGAUGGGCCCGCGUCGGAUUAGCUAGUUGGUGAGGUAAUGGCUCACCAAGGCUACGAUCCGUAGCUGGUCUGAGAGGAUGAUCAGCCACACAGGGACUGAGACACGGCCCAGACUCCUACGGGAGGCAGCAGUGGGGAAUAUUGGACAAUGGGCGCGAGCCUGAUCCAGCCAUGCCGCGUGAGUGAAGAAGGCCUUAGGGUUGUGAAGCUCUUUUAGUGGGGACGAUAAUGACGGUACCCACAGAAUAAGCCCCGGCUAACUUCGUGCCAGCCGCCGCAGUAA
RNAcentral lists this ribosomal RNA (447 nucleotides) under uncultured bacterium. RNAcentral's name for it is "partial 16S ribosomal RNA". It matches the Rfam family "Bacterial small subunit ribosomal RNA", at positions 29 to 523 of the family's 1533-position model. The record is from RNAcentral.